GACGAACGCUGGCGGCGUGCUUAACACAUGCAAGUCGAACGGAAAGGCCCUGCUUUUGUGGGGUGCUCGAGUGGCGAACGGGUGAGUAACACGUGAGUAACCUGCCCUUGACUUUGGGAUAACUUCAGGAAACUGGGGCUCAUACCGGAUAGGAGCUCCUGCUGCAUGGUGGGGGUUGGAAAGUUUCGGCGGUUGGGGAUGGACUCGCGGCUUAUCAGCUUGUUGGUGGGGUAGUGGCUUACCAAGGGUUUGAGGGGUAGCCGGCCUGAGAGGGUGACCGGCCACAAGGGGACUGAGACAAGGCCCAGACGCCUACGGGAGGCAGCAGUGGGGAAUAUUGGACAAUGGGCGGAAGCCUGAUGCAGCAACGCCGCGUGCGGGAGGACGGCCUUGGGGUUGUGAACCGCUUUCGCCUGUGACGAAGCGUGAGUGACGGUAAUGGGUAAAGAAGCACCGGCUAACUACGUG
RNAcentral lists this ribosomal RNA (468 nucleotides) under uncultured bacterium. RNAcentral's name for it is "partial 16S ribosomal RNA". It matches the Rfam family "Bacterial small subunit ribosomal RNA", at positions 28 to 507 of the family's 1533-position model. The record is from RNAcentral.